This 432-nucleotide ribosomal RNA is filed under the name uncultured bacterium. Its description in RNAcentral is "partial 16S ribosomal RNA". It matches the Rfam family "Bacterial small subunit ribosomal RNA", at positions 29 to 506 of the family's 1533-position model. The record is from RNAcentral.
AACGAACGCUGGCGGCAUGCCUAACACAUGCAAGUCGAACGAGACCUUCGGGUCUAGUGGCGCACGGGUGCGUAACGCGUGGGAACCUGCCCUUAGGUUCGGAAUAACUCCCCGAAAGGGGUGCUAAUACCGGAUAAUGUCUUCGGACCAAAGAUUUAUCGCCUUUGGAUGGGCCCGCGUUGGAUUAGCUAGUUGGUAGGGUAAAAGCCUACCAAGGCGACGAUCCAUAGCUGGUCUGAGAGGAUGAUCAGCCACACUGGGACUGAGACACGGCCCAGACUCCUACGGGAGGCAGCAGUGGGGAAUAUUGGACAAUGGGCGAAAGCCUGAUCCAGCAAUGCCGCGUGAGUGAUGAAGGCCUUAGGGUUGUAAAGCUCUUUUACCCGGGAUGAUAAUGACAGGACCGGGAGAAUAAGCUCCGGCUAACUACGU